Molecule: ribosomal RNA, 2910 nt
Filed under: Escherichia coli 576-1
Lineage: Bacteria; Pseudomonadati; Pseudomonadota; Gammaproteobacteria; Enterobacterales; Enterobacteriaceae
Description: bacterial LSU rRNA
Rfam family: Bacterial large subunit ribosomal RNA
Source: RNAcentral
GGUUAAGCGACUAAGCGUACACGGUGGAUGCCCUGGCAGUCAGAGGCGAUGAAGGACGUGCUAAUCUGCGAUAAGCGUCGGUAAGGUGAUAUGAACCGUUAUAACCGGCGAUUUCCGAAUGGGGAAACCCAGUGUGAUUCGUCACACUAUCAUUAACUGAAUCCAUAGGUUAAUGAGGCGAACCGGGGGAACUGAAACAUCUAAGUACCCCGAGGAAAAGAAAUCAACCGAGAUUCCCCCAGUAGCGGCGAGCGAACGGGGAGCAGCCCAGAGCCUGAAUCAGUGUGUGUGUUAGUGGAAGCGUCUGGAAAGGCGCGCGAUACAGGGUGACAGCCCCGUACACAAAAAUGCACAUACUGUGAGCUCGAUGAGUAGGGCGGGACACGUGGUAUCCUGUCUGAAUAUGGGGGGACCAUCCUCCAAGGCUAAAUACUCCUGACUGACCGAUAGUGAACCAGUACCGUGAGGGAAAGGCGAAAAGAACCCCGGCGAGGGGAGUGAAAAAGAACCUGAAACCGUGUACGUACAAGCAGUGGGAGCCUCUUUAUGGGGUGACUGCGUACCUUUUGUAUAAUGGGUCAGCGACUUAUAUUCUGUAGCAAGGUUAACCGAAUAGGGGAGCCGAAGGGAAACCGAGUCUUAACUGGGCGUUAAGUUGCAGGGUAUAGACCCGAAACCCGGUGAUCUAGCCAUGGGCAGGUUGAAGGUUGGGUAACACUAACUGGAGGACCGAACCGACUAAUGUUGAAAAAUUAGCGGAUGACUUGUGGCUGGGGGUGAAAGGCCAAUCAAACCGGGAGAUAGCUGGUUCUCCCCGAAAGCUAUUUAGGUAGCGCCUCGUGAAUUCAUCUCCGGGGGUAGAGCACUGUUUCGGCAAGGGGGUCAUCCCGACUUACCAACCCGAUGCAAACUGCGAAUACCGGAGAAUGUUAUCACGGGAGACACACGGCGGGUGCUAACGUCCGUCGUGAAGAGGGAAACAACCCAGACCGCCAGCUAAGGUCCCAAAGUCAUGGUUAAGUGGGAAACGAUGUGGGAAGGCCCAGACAGCCAGGAUGUUGGCUUAGAAGCAGCCAUCAUUUAAAGAAAGCGUAAUAGCUCACUGGUCGAGUCGGCCUGCGCGGAAGAUGUAACGGGGCUAAACCAUGCACCGAAGCUGCGGCAGCGACGCUUAUGCGUUGUUGGGUAGGGGAGCGUUCUGUAAGCCUGCGAAGGUGUACUGUGAGGUAUGCUGGAGGUAUCAGAAGUGCGAAUGCUGACAUAAGUAACGAUAAAGCGGGUGAAAAGCCCGCUCGCCGGAAGACCAAGGGUUCCUGUCCAACGUUAAUCGGGGCAGGGUGAGUCGACCCCUAAGGCGAGGCCGAAAGGCGUAGUCGAUGGGAAACAGGUUAAUAUUCCUGUACUUGGUGUUACUGCGAAGGGGGGACGGAGAAGGCUAUGUUGGCCGGGCGACGGUUGUCCCGGUUUAAGCGUGUAGGCUGGUUUUCCAGGCAAAUCCGGAAAAUCAAGGCUGAGGCGUGAUGACGAGGCACUACGGUGCUGAAGCAACAAAUGCCCUGCUUCCAGGAAAAGCCUCUAAGCAUCAGGUAACAUCAAAUCGUACCCCAAACCGACACAGGUGGUCAGGUAGAGAAUACCAAGGCGCUUGAGAGAACUCGGGUGAAGGAACUAGGCAAAAUGGUGCCGUAACUUCGGGAGAAGGCACGCUGAUACGUAGGUGAAGUCCCUUGCUCCGGAUGGAGCUGAAAUCAGUCGAAGAUACCAGCUGGCUGCAACUGUUUAUUAAAAACACAGCACUGUGCAAACACGAAAGUGGACGUAUACGGUGUGACGCCUGCCCGGUGCCGGAAGGUUAAUUGAUGGGGUUAGCGGUAACGCGAAGCUCUUGAUCGAAGCCCCGGUAAACGGCGGCCGUAACUAUAACGGUCCUAAGGUAGCGAAAUUCCUUGUCGGGUAAGUUCCGACCUGCACGAAUGGCGUAAUGAUGGCCAGGCUGUCUCCACCCGAGACUCAGUGAAAUUGAACUCGCUGUGAAGAUGCAGUGUACCCGCGGCAAGACGGAAAGACCCCGUGAACCUUUACUAUAGCUUGACACUGAACAUUGAGCCUUGAUGUGUAGGAUAGGUGGGAGGCUUUGAAGUGUGGACGCCAGUCUGCAUGGAGCCGACCUUGAAAUACCACCCUUUAAUGUUUGAUGUUCUAACGUUGGCCCCUAAUCGGGGUUGCGGACAGUGUCUGGUGGGUAGUUUGACUGGGGCGGUCUCCUCCUAAAGAGUAACGGAGGAGCACGAAGGUUGGCUAAUCCUGGUCGGACAUCAGGAGGUUAGUGCAAUGGCAUAAGCCAGCUUGACUGCGAGCGUGACGGCGCGAGCAGGUGCGAAAGCAGGUCAUAGUGAUCCGGUGGUUCUGAAUGGAAGGGCCAUCGCUCAACGGAUAAAAGGUACUCCGGGGAUAACAGGCUGAUACCGCCCAAGAGUUCAUAUCGACGGCGGUGUUUGGCACCUCGAUGUCGGCUCAUCACAUCCUGGGGCUGAAGUAGGUCCCAAGGGUAUGGCUGUUCGCCAUUUAAAGUGGUACGCGAGCUGGGUUUAGAACGUCGUGAGACAGUUCGGUCCCUAUCUGCCGUGGGCGCUGGAGAACUGAGGGGGGCUGCUCCUAGUACGAGAGGACCGGAGUGGACGCAUCACUGGUGUUCGGGUUGUCAUGCCAAUGGCACUGCCCGGUAGCUAAAUGCGGAAGAGAUAAGUGCUGAAAGCAUCUAAGCACGAAACUUGCCCCGAGAUGAGUUCUCCCUGACUCCCUGAGAGUCCUGAAGGAACGUUGAAGACGACGACGUUGAUAGGCCGGGUGUGUAAGCGCAGCGAUGCGUUGAGCUAACCGGUACUAAUGAACCGUGAGGCUUAACCUUAC